CUGCUGCCUUCCGUAGGAGUUUGGGCCGUGUCUCAGUCCCAAUGUGGCCGUUCACCCUCUCAGGCCGGCUACUGAUCGUUGCCUUGGUAGGCCAUUACCCCACCAACUAGCUAAUCAGACGCGGAACCAUCGUAUACCACCAGAGUUUUUCACACCGCUUCAUGCGAAGCUGUGCGCUUAUGCGGUAUUAGCACCUAUUUCUAAGUGUUAUCCCCCAGUAUACGGCAGGUUUUCCACGCGUUACUCACCCGUCCNCCCG
This 259-nucleotide ribosomal RNA is filed under the name uncultured bacterium. Its description in RNAcentral is "partial 16S ribosomal RNA". The record is from RNAcentral.